RNAcentral lists this ribosomal RNA (301 nucleotides) under uncultured bacterium. RNAcentral's name for it is "partial 16S ribosomal RNA". It matches the Rfam family "Bacterial small subunit ribosomal RNA", at positions 509 to 807 of the family's 1533-position model. The record is from RNAcentral.
CAGUAGCCGCGGUAAUACGUAGGGUGCAAGCGUUAAUCGGAAUUACUGGGCGUAAAGCGUGCGCAGGCGGCGAUGCAAGACAGAUGUGAAAUCCCCGGGCUCAACCUGGGAACUGCAUUUGUGACUGCAUUGCUGGAGUACGGCAGAGGGGGAUGGAAUUCCGCGUGUAGCAGUGAAAUGCGUAGAUAUGCGGAGGAACACCGAUGGCGAAGGCAAUCCCCUGGGCCUGUACUGACGCUCAUGCACGAAAGCGUGGGGAGCAAACAGGAUUAGAUACCCCCGUAGUCCCUGUCUCUUAUAC